This 1556-nucleotide ribosomal RNA is filed under the name Salmonella enterica subsp. enterica serovar Heidelberg. Its description in RNAcentral is "bacterial SSU rRNA". It matches the Rfam family "Bacterial small subunit ribosomal RNA". RNAcentral also lists the same sequence under 2 other names. Lineage: Bacteria; Pseudomonadati; Pseudomonadota; Gammaproteobacteria; Enterobacterales; Enterobacteriaceae. The record is from RNAcentral.
UUAAAUUGAAGAGUUUGAUCAUGGCUCAGAUUGAACGCUGGCGGCAGGCCUAACACAUGCAAGUCGAACGGUAACAGGAAGCAGCUUGCUGCUUCGCUGACGAGUGGCGGACGGGUGAGUAAUGUCUGGGAAACUGCCUGAUGGAGGGGGAUAACUACUGGAAACGGUGGCUAAUACCGCAUAACGUCGCAAGACCAAAGAGGGGGACCUUCGGGCCUCUUGCCAUCAGAUGUGCCCAGAUGGGAUUAGCUUGUUGGUGAGGUAACGGCUCACCAAGGCGACGAUCCCUAGCUGGUCUGAGAGGAUGACCAGCCACACUGGAACUGAGACACGGUCCAGACUCCUACGGGAGGCAGCAGUGGGGAAUAUUGCACAAUGGGCGCAAGCCUGAUGCAGCCAUGCCGCGUGUAUGAAGAAGGCCUUCGGGUUGUAAAGUACUUUCAGCGGGGAGGAAGGUGUUGUGGUUAAUAACCACAGCAAUUGACGUUACCCGCAGAAGAAGCACCGGCUAACUCCGUGCCAGCAGCCGCGGUAAUACGGAGGGUGCAAGCGUUAAUCGGAAUUACUGGGCGUAAAGCGCACGCAGGCGGUCUGUCAAGUCGGAUGUGAAAUCCCCGGGCUCAACCUGGGAACUGCAUUCGAAACUGGCAGGCUUGAGUCUUGUAGAGGGGGGUAGAAUUCCAGGUGUAGCGGUGAAAUGCGUAGAGAUCUGGAGGAAUACCGGUGGCGAAGGCGGCCCCCUGGACAAAGACUGACGCUCAGGUGCGAAAGCGUGGGGAGCAAACAGGAUUAGAUACCCUGGUAGUCCACGCCGUAAACGAUGUCUACUUGGAGGUUGUGCCCUUGAGGCGUGGCUUCCGGAGCUAACGCGUUAAGUAGACCGCCUGGGGAGUACGGCCGCAAGGUUAAAACUCAAAUGAAUUGACGGGGGCCCGCACAAGCGGUGGAGCAUGUGGUUUAAUUCGAUGCAACGCGAAGAACCUUACCUGGUCUUGACAUCCACAGAACUUUCCAGAGAUGGAUUGGUGCCUUCGGGAACUGUGAGACAGGUGCUGCAUGGCUGUCGUCAGCUCGUGUUGUGAAAUGUUGGGUUAAGUCCCGCAACGAGCGCAACCCUUAUCCUUUGUUGCCAGCGGUUAGGCCGGGAACUCAAAGGAGACUGCCAGUGAUAAACUGGAGGAAGGUGGGGAUGACGUCAAGUCAUCAUGGCCCUUACGACCAGGGCUACACACGUGCUACAAUGGCGCAUACAAAGAGAAGCGACCUCGCGAGAGCAAGCGGACCUCAUAAAGUGCGUCGUAGUCCGGAUUGGAGUCUGCAACUCGACUCCAUGAAGUCGGAAUCGCUAGUAAUCGUGGAUCAGAAUGCCACGGUGAAUACGUUCCCGGGCCUUGUACACACCGCCCGUCACACCAUGGGAGUGGGUUGCAAAAGAAGUAGGUAGCUUAACCUUCGGGAGGGCGCUUACCACUUUGUGAUUCAUGACUGGGGUGAAGUCGUAACAAGGUAACCGUAGGGGAACCUGCGGUUGGAUCACCUCCUUACCUUAAAGAAGC